UUUCAUUAUUUUUUCUCUCUUUUUUUUUCUCACUUCAAAUUUAAACAUUAGCUCUCGUUGGACCUCCAUCAUCUCCUUCUUCAACAAUAAAUUCAGAUCUGGAAGGUGAAAUAGAAGUCAAUACCUCCAUCAUCCUCUUCUUCUACAAUGGAUCCAGAUAAAAUCAAACUCACCUCUUUCUCUGGUGUUUUGAAUCAUAAAAUUCAUCUUGCGAUUAAUUGGGGUUGCGCUUUACUUUAACUGGUUCCUAUUGUAAUUCCUGAUGAUGAUGGUGUGGUGGUGGUGAUGAAGUACAAGAUGCCACAGUUUGCUAAUAAGAUUGCUUGUUACAUUGCUUAUCUGUUCUGUAAGAUGACGAAAUAGAAGAUGACUCAGUUUGCUAAUAAAGCUGGUGCUCUUGGUGAUGAAAUCUUUAUUGUUCCUGAUAAGAGAGGCAGGUGAAUUGGAGAUAAAGAAGUUAGCGUACAUUGCUGAUGGAGUAGAAUACUACCUUUGAGAUGAAUGAGAUACCUUUGCCUCCAUGGAGGCCCGACCUGUAAACAAGAAGAUCCCGGAAGAUCCUACUUUACCAACAUUACCAAGAAGUACCCCUCAUCUACCAUAGUUUCAGGAGUUUCAUUUGGAAACGUCAGAGAGGGCUAAUCAGCAUGCUUAAACUCAACAGUUGUAACAUCAACUGAAUCUUCAAAUUGCAGUCCUUAUUUGUUUCUCUUCUUAGUUGUCUUUGUGGACCAUAUGUUUCAUCUACUUUUGGUAAUGCACAUUUAAAGUGAAAAUUUUGUUCAUGGUGUUAUUUAUGAAUUUGUUGCCUGCUACAGGUAGUUCAUUUUAGCUGGAAGAAGGACUCCCCAGAGAUUUGGCGUGGAUAUCCUCGCCAGGUGGUGCAACCUUCUUGUAUCCUUUACGAAUUUAAUUGUGCGAUACUUUCAACGUGAUCGGAUAAAGCCUCUAUAUCGUGUUUUUAAUUAGCUUGUUUUCACUGUCAUGUGUAAAUAUUUUAAAUAGCCAAUUGAAAUAGUGGGUUUUAGGUAGCCAACUUGAGGAUUGGUGAAAUAGAAUCAACUCCUCCUGGCACAAAGGAUUUAAUGCAUCUGCUGACUCAUUUUCAAAAUUUGCUCUGAAUUCCCGUUAGUUGUUACCACUUAAUAUUGCAUUCGUAGUUGUAGUCCUGAUCGAUUACAAGGAUAAGAUACAAAUUCACAGCGUUUGGUACUUCAAUUCCCUUUUUGCAGGGUCACGCCAUUCUCCUGGAUUAUUCUUGCUCUGGUGCUAGAACUUUUGUUGACAGAUCGGAUCAUGUUCUUCCAUCGUAUACUGCAACUGCUGAUGUUGCAAGGGAAACACUACUCAACUUGCUACUUCACAAUUACUUCGAUCAUAACACUUCAUAAUGGUGCCACCUGCAUUCCAAGUUCGAGUCGUAUAGGAAUGACCUUGUCAGUUCAUUAGCCAAUGCAAUAACAACUGAAGACGGAGUUAAUUUAAUAAGUAUAACUGGUUCAAUGCUCACACCUAAGUAGAAGGAUCUUGGAAUGUUGCUUAACCAGAUUUAAUGUAACCAGCUUCAGUCAAUUAAAUCCUUUCAUUAAUGCCUAAGUGAUGCUGUAGUGGCUUAGUCAAACAUCUACAAGCUCCUCCGUUCAUUCCAGACAUUGAACCAGCUCUUAAUUAAUCCUAUUGAACACAAGGUUUAUAAGAAAGGGCUUUUGCUCUUGGACUACUAGCUCUCAAGAUAGCAGGCGGUCAGGCAUUAGGCUGAUGUUGAAAGUGAUUGAGGAUAUUCCAAAGAAUCCUGAUGACAAAACUCAGAUAUCUUUGCUAUAUGCUAACAUCUCACCAGACGACAUACUACUGAAGCAAAACUUGACAUACUCUUAGCUAGCAAUCCAGAUUUGAAGUUGAUUUUUGCAUCUUUAGUGGGAAGGUCUUCCUUACAUUUCUCCGGUAUUCCUGAUGUUGUUAGCAGUUCAAUGAGAAGAGACAAAUAUUUGCUUUUGAAACCAUAAUUCAUAUUUGAUAUCCUUUUUUCUAUGAACUUGAUUCUAAGUAUGUAACGAAACCAAUGAAUCAAUGAAUAUUAUUAAAUUGAAUGAAUAUUUGUGUGUAAGUUUAAUUUGAUUCUCAUUUGAAUUCUAAGUUUCGUUUGAUUCUCA
Papaver somniferum (opium poppy) is the source of this 2153-nucleotide long non-coding RNA. RefSeq lists it as uncharacterized. The transcript has 12 exons. Lineage: Eukaryota; Viridiplantae; Streptophyta; Magnoliopsida; Ranunculales; Papaveraceae. The record is from RefSeq and is a predicted model, not a curated record.